RNAcentral lists this microRNA precursor (74 nucleotides) under Myotis lucifugus (little brown bat). RNAcentral describes it as "mir-9229 microRNA precursor family". It matches the Rfam family "mir-9229 microRNA precursor family". Lineage: Eukaryota; Metazoa; Chordata; Mammalia; Chiroptera; Vespertilionidae. The record is from Rfam by way of RNAcentral.
AGACACCCUUCUGGGGCAAGACUUCGCUUCAGUGGGGCUUUGGUGCUCACUGAGUCUGCCCCCUGUGUGUCCCU